RNAcentral lists this ribosomal RNA (639 nucleotides) under Phlegmacium pardinum. RNAcentral's name for it is "eukaryotic LSU rRNA". The stretch from base 270 to 423 matches the Rfam family "5.8S ribosomal RNA". The record is from RNAcentral. Lineage: Eukaryota; Fungi; Basidiomycota; Agaricomycetes; Agaricales; Cortinariaceae.
CCGUAGGUGAACCUGCGGAAGGAUCAUUAUCGAAAUAAAUCUGAUGAGUUGCUGCUGGUUCUCUAAGGGAGCAUGUGCACACUUGUCAUCUUUAUAUCUCCACCUGUGCACCUUUUGUAGACCUGGAUCACUCUCCGAAUGCUAGCCAUUCAGGAUUGAGGAAUUGACUUCACAUUCUCUUCUUCUAUUUCCAGGCCUAUGUUUCUUCAUAUACCCCAAUGUAUGUCGUAGAAUGUAAUCAAAUGGCCUUUGUGCNUAUAAAUCUAUACAACUUUCAGCAACGGAUCUCUUGGCUCUCGCAUCGAUGAAGAACGCAGCGAAAUGCGAUAAGUAAUGUGAAUUGCAGAAUUCAGUGAAUCAUCGAAUCUUUGAACGCACCUUGCGCUCCUUGGUAUUCCGAGGAGCAUGCCUGUUUGAGUGUCAUUAAUAUAUCAACCUCUUCAGCUUUUGCUCGUUGAGUGUUGGAUGUGGGGGGUCAUUUUUGCUGGUCUUCUAUGGUCAGCUCCCCUGAAAUGCAUUAGCGGAACAAUUUGUGGACCGUUCAUUAGUGUGAUAACUAUCUACGCUAUCGACGUGAAGCAGUUCAGCUUCUAACAGUCCAUUGACUUGGACAAAAUUUUUAUUAAUGUGACCUCAAAU